This is a non-coding RNA of Bdellovibrionales bacterium, 116 nucleotides long. NCBI's taxonomy places the organism in Bacteria, Pseudomonadati, Bdellovibrionota, Bdellovibrionia, Bdellovibrionales. The record is from Rfam.
GGCCCGCGUAGUUUGCCGAUGGACGCCGCGAGCCCAAUCCAAAACACCGGCUACACAUGUAGAUUCUGACGACCGAUUGCUUUCGGACGUGGGUUCGACUCCCACCGUCUCCACCA